AGAAUACUAACAAUACCAACUAUUGUCAUUAGUUAUUAGAGGAAUGGCAGCUAUAAUUGUGGACUCGUAUGGUUGAUGGAAAGUUGAGAGAGAAAAAGACACUUUCUGGGAAGUAAAGAGGAGACAUCUUAUUUGGUUGGAGUUUUAAAAGAGAGAGUAAAAAAAGCUCUUCCCAUGAAAAGUUACUUUCUAUAUUUUAUGAAAAAUAAAAACCCAUGGGGGAGG
This 225-nucleotide long non-coding RNA is filed under the name Elaeis guineensis (African oil palm). Its description in RNAcentral is "long non-coding RNA (EGUI_LNC039221)". The record is from RNAcentral. Lineage: Eukaryota; Viridiplantae; Streptophyta; Magnoliopsida; Arecales; Arecaceae.